UGUCUGUGUGAAGUUCAUCGAACCCACACCCUUCUGCUUACCGGGCAGGUGCCUUGUCCACUCGGCUAC
This is a non-coding RNA of Cordylochernes scorpioides, 69 nucleotides long. Lineage: Eukaryota; Metazoa; Arthropoda; Arachnida; Pseudoscorpiones; Chernetidae. The record is from the annotation of a GenBank genome assembly.